This 240-nucleotide long non-coding RNA is filed under the name Lathyrus oleraceus (garden pea). RNAcentral describes it as "Pisum sativum (pea) long non-coding RNA (PSAT_LNC001255)". The record is from RNAcentral. Lineage: Eukaryota; Viridiplantae; Streptophyta; Magnoliopsida; Fabales; Fabaceae.
AAGAGGCAUUGGGGAGUUUUUCCAAAUUCACUUUGAUUGAUGAUUGCUUGAGUUUAUGUUUGUGUGAUUGCUUAUUCCAAAGGAUGAGAGCUACUUGGAUCAUCAAUAUGAUCUCAAGAGAGGAACUCCAUUGUGGUUUUGUUUCUUUAUCCCUCACCUUCUUGCUUUACUUAGGCCUUAGCCCUUCUUCUUCUUCCCUCCACUCUAACCCAAGCCAAAACUUUUGUGCAAACAUUUAAC